RNAcentral lists this ribosomal RNA (482 nucleotides) under Clavus unizonalis. RNAcentral describes it as "partial 16S ribosomal RNA". It matches the Rfam family "Bacterial large subunit ribosomal RNA", at positions 1846 to 2589 of the family's 2925-position model. The record is from RNAcentral. Lineage: Eukaryota; Metazoa; Mollusca; Gastropoda; Neogastropoda; Drilliidae.
UAAGGAGUCGGACCUGCCCAGUGAAGUUUUUUAACGGCCGCGGUACUCUGACCGUGCAAAGGUAGCAUAAUCAUUUGCCUUAUAAUUGGAGGCUAGUAUGAAUGGUUUGACAAGAAUAUAGCUGUCUCUUUUUGAUUUAUUAGAACUUUAUUUUAAGGUGAAGAAGCCUUAAUUUAAAUUAAAAGACAAGAAGACCCUGUCGAGCUUUAAAAAAGUCAAUAGAAAUUACCUUAAUUAAACUUAAAAAAUCAUCUAUUAAAAAUUUUGGUUGGGGCGACUAAGGAACAAAAGAGCUUCCUUUUACAUAAUAAAAUCUAUAAAUUUUGAUCCAAAAAUUUUUGAUUAAAAGAAUUAGUUACCGCAGGGAUAACAGCAUUAUCUUUUUUGAGAGCUCUUAUCGAAAAAAAGGUUUGUGACCUCGAUGUUGGACCAGAAUAUCCUAAAGAUGCAGAAGUCUUUAAGGGUUGGUCUGUUCGACCAUU